RNAcentral lists this ribosomal RNA (291 nucleotides) under uncultured bacterium. Its description in RNAcentral is "partial 16S ribosomal RNA". It matches the Rfam family "Bacterial small subunit ribosomal RNA", at positions 1077 to 1372 of the family's 1533-position model. The record is from RNAcentral.
GGGUGCAGUCUGCACGAGCGCACCCUUACCUUUAGUUGCCAUCAUGUUAUGGUGGGUCUCUAGGGAGACUGCCUGAGUACCAGGGAAGAGAGGGGGUGUGACGUCAAAUCCGUGCGCCCUUUAUCCUGGGGGCGACACAUGUUCUACUGUGCUGGGUACAGAGGGCAGCUACAUCGUGAUGGGGUGCAAAUCUCUAAAGCCUAUUUCAAUUCGGAUAGGAGUCUGCAACCCCACUCCUUGGACCUGGAUUCGCUAGAAUUCGCAGAUCACCCAUGCCGCGGUGAAUACGUU